This is a long non-coding RNA of Homo sapiens (human), 475 nucleotides long. RefSeq annotates it as long intergenic non-protein coding RNA 1374. NCBI's taxonomy places the organism in Eukaryota, Metazoa, Chordata, Mammalia, Primates, Hominidae. The transcript has 2 exons. The record is from RefSeq and is marked validated.
AGAAUUUAGUUUACAGUUUAAUUGUGAAGCAAGGAUAAUAAUAGUCGCUUCCUAAAACUGAUCCGCUCCUUGUUUGGAGACUGAAACAGUCUUUGUAAGACAAUGAAAGGUCACAAGAUUAGUAUUCUGAGAGGGGCCUGAAUUCUGCUAAAAUGUUGCUAACUUUGGAGGAAGCCAGCUGCCAUGUCACAAAAAGAUUCAGGAAGCCAUGUGGAGAGGCCCACAUCAUGAGGAACUGAGGUCUUUGCCAAUUACCAGCAAGGAAAUGAGGCCUCCUGCCAACAGCCACGUGAGUAUCCUACCUUGGAAAUGGACCCUCUAACUUCAAUCAGCCUUCAAAUAACUGCAGCCCCAGUUGAUGGCUUGACUGCAACCUUAGGAGAAACCCUGAGCCAAAAACAUUGAGGAAAAACACCCCCAGAUUCCUAUCAGAAAUUGUGUAAGAUAAUAAAUGUUUGUUGUUUUAAGCUGCUAA